UGGCCCAUCUCCAGCUUGGACUGCCAGAGGAAAUGUCCGCGUUUUUCAGUGCACAAAACCAUUAUCCGAAUAUUGAAUACUGAAUUUCACUUAACUGAAAGGCUUGAAAAUAGGUCAGAAACAGACCAACAGGGGACGCCGUUUGCCAUUGCAGCCUCAAGUCACGUUAUUACUCGUCUUCCGCUACAUGCUCGCGCUAAACUAAUUUACAGGUUUAAACGACGUAGGUUGACGAUCAUCUUCAUCAUCAUUAUUAAGGAAAGAGCAGAAGAAGAGAUGGUCUAUGCACCAACCCAAAACAAGAUCGAGGUGGAAAUGACAGUAGAUCUGUACCAUCCCCUGGCUCAUGACCUGCUACUGAAAUACUUCAAGUUAAUCGAUAAAACAGUGGUGCGUUUCCCAGCUAAUGUCAAGUGUCUGAGGACCACCACCUUGAUGCAUUAUUAAAUGCACAUACGCAGACUGGAGGCAAAGACGUGGAACAGAAGCCCCGGCGAAAUGAACGCAAGAUCUGACAGAGAGAGCGAAAGAGGGAGAGAAAACUUAAUUGAAGCCUGAUUACUGGCCCUUGGGAGGUUACAGUUUAUUAAUAUGUCACUUUCAAUAAAGACACUCCCAUAUUCAGAUUCACUGUUACCAUGGAAACCUCGUUUCUUUUUACGUUUGACUUUUUUUCCCCUCCCUGAGUGGAAGGAGAGGUUAAUGACACAAAUCCUCCCGACGCUCAGGUUGAUUUUCAAACCCCUCUGUCUGAAAUAAUCAGUGUUUUGCUUUUCUACAGCUCUGUCUUUGCCCUCUGAGCCGCUGUGGGAAGAGAGGAGAUAUUUUAUGCCCAUUAUUCAUUAUGUGUUCGAUUUUUCAGGAAACCAAAUGGCCCACAUUUAAACAGCCUGUGAAAUAAUA
Long non-coding RNA from Cyprinus carpio carpio, 903 nucleotides. The record is from Ensembl. NCBI's taxonomy places the organism in Eukaryota, Metazoa, Chordata, Actinopteri, Cypriniformes, Cyprinidae.